RNAcentral lists this unclassified non-coding RNA (8246 nucleotides) under Leishmania donovani. RNAcentral's name for it is "gene:LdHU3.34.1070(CDS-product:hypothetical_prote in_conserved)". The record is from RNAcentral. Lineage: Eukaryota; Euglenozoa; Kinetoplastea; Trypanosomatida; Trypanosomatidae.
CGGACGAGAGAAAAAGAGGUGCCUCAUCGCUCCCUCUGCACGCACGUUUAUAUGUGGGUGGUCAGCACGCGAAGACGAGCAACUACAACGCACGCCUCACAUACGCAAACACGAAAAAAAAAGGCAAAACAUAAUACGCUCAGAGUGGGGGCCGGCCUUUGUGCGUAGUGCAACCAGCACCAUCGCUAACUCAUCCCACUUUCUGUAUCGCUUUCUUGGGUUUCCCCUUCCGUGGCUCCUCUUGUUCUUUUUAGUCCACCGAGGCCGUCUGAGAAGACACACGUGAGUGGAAGAGAGAGGGAGGCGCACACGCGCAAAGGCAAAACACGGCGCAACGGAUAUGUUGGCUUCUCCGCUCUCUCUCUCUCUCUCCCUUAAACUUUCAUGUUUGCAUCAUCACACACACACACGAGGACAUCUGUGCUUUUUCUCCACAUCCUUUUUUUUUUCGUAUUUGGUUUGGGCAGCGCUUCAACGCCGCAUUGUGGGCGAGGCAGACUUAAACGUGCGACCUACUGUCGCACUGCCUAGCAGAAGAGGGGGAGCCGUACGCUUCACACCGUCUCACCGCACCUGCUGAUGGAAUCGCCUCCGGCCCAGGCUGUCUCUGGAGAGCAGCGUGCCCGUUUGCUAGAGCUGGAAGAGCGGCAGCGUCAGCUCAAGCGCCUGUGCGAGGAGGCACUCAGGGAAGAGGAGCAGCAUCAGCAAAUUCUCCAGCAAUUAGAGGAGCACAACACGGCCGCCGCGUCGUCUGUUGGGUCGUUCGCGGGUGGCAGCGCCGGGAGCUUUACCGGCGCUGCAGCUCUGCAUGUGAGGCCUUUCUCGCCCAGCGCCGCAGCAGAACCACUCGACGACUUGCUGACAGGCGAGGUGCAGUCCUUUCGUGACCCCAACAGCAUUGUCCGAGACUCCUCCACCGGCAGUGUAGCCGCAGCGCCCUUGCUGCGUGGUGGAUCGUCGUCGAAUCCGCGCAAUCCUUCUAUGGACCGGCCGCGCACUCGACUCGACAGUAGCUAUCGGCCACCGACGUACCCGCUGCCAACGGCGUCCGCCACACAGCCGCCUCCCCCGCCGCGAGCAAUGUUGUACACUGCCUCUCGCCGGCCUAGAGAAGAGGGAAGCCGGGCAGACGCAGCGGCCAUAAAUGGCAGCAUUCAGCCUUCCAUAUCUGCGCCAGCGAUGUCUUCGUCCCUACCAGUAACCAAGACGUGGUGGCAUGGUGAAAAGGGUGCUGCAGAAAAAAGAUCAGGAUCGAACGCCGCGGCCGCCGCUUGCACGCCAGCCGAGAGAGUCGGCGCCGGCUAUGGCGCGUACGCCGCCUGUUCCCCGCCCGCUGCACCCGCGCCCCUGUCGCCACCACCACCGCCGCCGCCGCCGGAGCGCAGUCGCAGCCGCAGCCCGGGCUGCAGCGGCCCCCUGGUAGAUCGGCUAUGGCGCAGUGAUGUCCGUCACCACCACGGCAUCCCUCCCCCACCUCCACCAGCACCGAACGCAGUAGAGGCCACGGUCUCACCUUUCUCCGUGCUGUACUCGCGGACACUCGGCGCGCGUGCAGGCUUGUCGCCGCCGCCAUCACGGCCCUCACGCUCAUCUGCGCCGCCGUUGGUCUCUCCGGAUGACGUCGCGGACAACCUUCCACCACCGCCUCCGCGCGCGCACAGUUGUGCCGCUGCCUCGCACAACGUGCAACCCAGCAUGGCAAAUAAGUACCGCAGGUCGCGUAGCUUCCUCAACGCAGACCCGCCGCUGCCACCGCCGCCGCCGCCGCCACCACCGCCAACAGCCCACACAGACCUGGGUGGCGACUCGAUCCUGUCGACAACUUCAACGGAGCGCGUCAUCGAGCGAUGGAGGCAUCGAUUGAGCUGCAGCGAUGCACUCGGGCAGCGCGAUGGUCACUACACCAGUAGCGGGUACGAUCGGAGCGGGGCCGCAGGUCAGAAGCCCUCCAUUACCCGUCCAGGCACAAGGGUGGGCGUCACGUUGGCGGAGCGCCGCACCCCUCAGGCAUCUGCCGCUCCGCUACUCUCCGUUCCUUAUCGCGAGAGUGCCACCAGAGAAGGCGUCAAGGUCGCAAGCCGGGUACCGCCGCCACCACCACCGCCGCCUGUGUCUGGUACCGAUCCUCUUUCCUCACCAGCCCGCUACAACGAAGGCAGAACCGAGGACGAGUCGCUUCCAAACAGAUGGGAGACGGCGUCAUUGACACCGAGUCUGCGAAGUGCGGAAGAGAGGCGCCUGCGCAGCUACUUUGCGAAACCAGACGGAGACGUUGGCAGUUCAGCUCCGGCACACAAAGACUACGCGAGCUACAGCCGCCAGCGUGUGCUGGGAUCUCGCGAUGGAGUGAAGAACGCUCGAGCUGCACUGCUUGAAACCGGUGGCACGGCUUCCUCCACCUCCGCUCCGGCGGCGGCAAGGUCCGAGGGCAGCGUCAGCGCCUGGCAACAAACUUCUCGCGCGGCGGAGCCGCCAUUGCAUCGGCGUUCGACAGCUGCCCAUUUUACCUCCUCAGCACCCUCUGUAACUGAGGUCCUUCCACCGACACCGGCCAAGGCGAAGCCCAAGAAGACGGUCCUUCAUCCGUAUGGGUUGCAGCAGUCACAGUCUUCCUCGCUCUCACCCCCACCAGAGCCCAGUCUCAGAAAUGCAGCAGCUAGAAACGGAUGUGGCGCCUCUCGGCACAGAAGCGGUGCGCCGGCGCCUCUGUUUUCGGCGCUUUCCGCGAAGCAUCAACGAAGCACCUUGUCCGCCCUGAACAGAAGCAAUCUCGACUCGGCAUGGGGCAACGGCGGCACCUCACUCCCUGCGCAGUCGGAUGUCAAUGGCGCGGCAGCCGCCCCAGCACCGCAUGCCUCUGUCGCAGCUUCGGACAGCGACUACUUCGACAUAGGACCCGAGAAGGAGGCGCUGCUGACACUGCUGCAGGAAAGCACCCGCGGCGCACCAGGGAGCAGUGCCGGUGUCGCGUUCCCAGCUACCAGCCGCUCGUCGUCGAUACAGCCGUGGGCGUCGUCCUCGGUGGUAACUAACGUCGCAGGCGGCGGUCAAUCAGCUGAGAAAGCACUCCCCUACCCUCCCUCGGCCCGCCUGUCUGACAGCAAGCAGACACAGAGUUUUGGUGCUCCGCCCACGAUGACGACGCUGCCGCCUCAUAAUAAAGACUCAGCAAGGCGGCACUCCAAUUUCGACCUGUCGGUGGGCACACCGCUCCCGCUCGGCGGAAGCGGCAAAGCAGCCGCUGGGGGAGCGCAGCACGGCAACGAGGUGGCUGCGGCGCAGCUGCAGCAGAAAUACGACGCUGCGCAGACCAAGGCAGAAGCGCUGGCGCGGCACCUGGUGAAGGCCAUCAGUGACCGCAAAAUGCUUCAGGGCAGCGUAGAGCAGCUGGAAAUGCUUGUGGAGGAGUGCAACGCCGAGGUGGGUCGGCUUCAGCAGAUUGUGGAGCAGCAGCACCAAGACAGGGCCACCUCCCUCGGGGUGCAGGCAGCACUUCGCGCCAAGGAGCGGGAGGUGGCUGUAUACGAGGACGAAAUCCGGCGACUCAACGUGGUGCUGAAUGGGCACCUCACCCGCACGGCCACCGCUGAGCGUGUGGCGCAGGACAGUGUGCAGCACGGACUGGUGGUUAAGGAGGCGGAGGUGGAGGCGGCCAUGGCAGAGGUAGGUAUGGCGCAUCUGGCGCAGCGGGAGGCGGAGGAGCGAGCCAGCCGGCUGGCGAAUGAACUGGACACAGCGGUGGAGCAGAUACAGUUUCUCGACGAGCGCCUUGCUGAGAUGGAGCGGGCUGCGGCUGCAGCACGCUUCCAGGCGAUGUCUGGACGCAUCACCGAAGAAAACGACGUGAACCUGGACGGCGGCACCGUCGCUCCCUCACACUUGAGCCCAGCAGCGCACAUCACCAUGCCCCCCGACGAAGAAACACGGCACUGGCCGCCGGAAGCGCGGCAAGCGAUGGCGCAGCUUGCCGCACAGGCAGAAGGGCUGCUUUUCAAAAAUGCGGAGGGGGAGCGUCACGCCUCGAUGCGGCUGCAGCACGUGGAGAACACCUGCAACGAGCUUCAACGGCACCUCCGACAGCGCGGCGAGGAGGUGGAGCGUGCGCGUGAGGCAUGCGAGCAGCUUCGACAGGAAAAGAGCGCCUUGCAGACGGUAGGAGGACUGUGGUAUCAGCAAUUACGUGAAGUGAAAGAGGAUGCGCAGCUCGUCUCGGAGAUGGUGCGCACCUCCCGCGAAGACGCAGAGGACGUGUAUCUGUCCUCGACAAUGGCAGAAGAGCGCGCUGCUGUGCACUGUGCCGCCGCGGCAGCGGCAAGUCCGCUGCAGCCCCUACCGAGCCCAGCGCCGACGGAUCCCGCAACUUUGAAGAAAUCUGCGCAGUUCGCGCGGCAGGUGAUGCGCGACUUUCAUGCGGUAGCACGCUUUCUCUCAAGCCUGCGCACGAUGAACAUAGGGGACAGCAACGGGUACCAAAUCCUGCAGGCUAUCGCUAGUGGCCGCCACCCAGCCGAAGCUCUCUACACCGCUGACGACACCGCCACGCCGAAGCGGCUGAGCGAGCUGCUCCGCCCUAACGAAGCGACGGAGGCAAAGCGCCGCGUGCAAGAGAAGAAGGCUCGCGUUCUGCGUGCCGUGGAGCAGGCCUUGAUUGUAGAGCCGGUUUCGGCCGCUGCGUACGUUUCGGUAGACACGCCACACAAUCGCCCCUCCAGCGGCGCCACCAUCACACUGGGUCUGCCGCCCCGCGCGGGAGGGCAACCGCCAACAGCGGAAGCAGAGGCGGAGGAAUGUGAGGUGCCCGACGCCCUCGAGGACGAUCUGGCGAACGAUGAUGAAGUAGAGAUGGAGGUGGUGUCCUCCUCGCUGCACCCAACGCGGAUGGGCAGCCACAGCCUCCGCGACGGCAGCAACGGCAUGGUACACAGCGAUGUGCGCCGGCGGCCGGCGUCUGACUCAGUGACCUCCUUGCCGCUCAACCGAGUGCCGCCAACCGCGUCCGCCUCAGAGGCCAGCUGUGCACCUUCAGCGCUUGAAGCCUCGCCGCCACCGGCCCCGCUCGCGUCCGAUGGCAGGCCGUUCUGCAGCACGUCGUUCAUGGGCGGCAACGAGGCCCCCAGCACCACCUCGACAUCUCGGCCCACCGUGGCCAAAGCGGCGCCGGCGCCACCCACCCCGCUGCCGUCCGUCUCGCGACCGCUGCGCCUCUCCACCACGCCGUCGCAGCCGCAGCCAGACGGCAAAGAAGAGAAUGAGGAAGAGGCGGUGGCAUUCUCUGACGAGCAGUCGAGCCCGACUUGCGCGCUGUCGCACACUGUCCUUAGGGCCGACUCGAUGCCGAUCCGCGGAAACGGUGCCGGCGCCGACUUCGACAUGUCCUCCAUCACGCUCGUGUCAUCCCCCUCCAUGUCGCAACAGACGUUUCAUCAGCAAACGGCGACGGUGCAACAGUCAUCGCUGCCGUCGACACUUGCCGUCACCGCUACACCGCCGGCGGAUCUCACAGAGGGUGCCCCCGCCGCGCGCCCUAAUGCUUCCGUACCGCUGCAGGUGCAGCAACAGCACAGGUCGAUGCCCGCGACACAAGAGAGUAUUUCGCCGCCGUCGCGUCUCCGCUCCCCGACCCCCAAUCGCGUGCCUGCGGUGUGGGCUGAGAUGCACGCCGAGGAGGACCUUAUCACGUCUCCCGUCGAGCGGCCGAAGCCUUCUCAGUCGUUUGCGGACGAACCCCCGCCUCGAGUGGUGUGCGACGGAAACACACAGCCGGUGCAUCUAGGCUCGCGGCCGAAGGACCGCAGCACCACCGCGCGUCCGUCCUCUACGCCGCACCCAGGCUCGCUCUCCGGUACGCGCUACGGCUUCGAAGCGGGAGAUGGAGAAAAAACUGUUGCGCCGCCGCGACACACAGGCCGACUCCGUCGUGGGGCAAGCGACGAAAGCAAUGACAAUGAGGCCACGCUCUUCUUUCGCGAGCCGCCUCGUGGUGAAGUGCAGGAGGUGGCCGCCGAGCCAACGUCAAUCCCAUUGCAGAAGCAACACUCUGGCGUAGCGGUGGACCUCCUCAGCGAUGGCUUUGCCAUUUCGUCUCGCAGGGCCCCUGCAGCCGCCGUGGCACCGGCGCAGGACGUCUCAGUCUCUCCGGAUCACACCUCCGUAAUCGAAGAGGAAGAAGCCGACUUGGAAGAGCGAGUGCCGUCCGCUGGCGCAGCAGCAAAACGCCUUUCGCUGCACCUCGAGUCGCCGUUAAAAGGGGUACAGUCCGCCGCCUCGUCUGUGCCGGCCGUUACUCGUGGGACUCUGAAGGACUCAACGAUGAAGAAGCCGAGUUCGUCUUGCACUCGCAGUGUCGUCGAAGAUGACGAGCCAUCCUUAAGUUUUUUGGCGCCGCCACCGCCGCUACCGCCACCGCCGCCGGUACAACCACAAGUACGACCAUCACCUUCGCAGGAGCAUGCACACGGAGCGCCAGAAGUUGAUGCCUUGGCGCGCACGUCGCCGGCAGAAGCGUCUGUGUCGGGCGCCGGUCACUCGCGAGCGAUGGAGGGCAAUGACGGCUCUGUAGCCUCUAUCGACAACGCCCCGCUCUCCCCGUCGUCCUUGAGCGGCAGCUUUGCAGGCGCACCGCACCGGAUGCUGCAUCAACCACGCCGGCCAUCAGCGUCUGAUGUCGGGCCAAGUCUGAGCUCAGUAGGGGGUGCGUUUGCCCCUCCGCGUCUGCAGCGCUCGACUGGCUCGUCGCCAUCGGUAGAAGCCCAGCCUCUUCUGUGCAUCGUAACCCCCGGGCCAGCGGCUGCAGUGGGUGCCACCGCCAGCGUUGGCCAGCACAGCCGCAGCGGUGCUCGACCUCUCACGGCGAGCUUGCCGCGUGAACACCCUUGCCCAGAGGUGACGCCCGCGCUCGUGGAGCCGCAGCGCCCCUCUCCGUCGGCGCGACCUGUUCCGGCCGCAAUGCGCACAAAUCCUGUAACCCCGGGCGAUCCUGUCGACUCCACUGCGGCGACGGCUGCAGGGCCGUCGCCACUGGAGGAAAAGACCUCGCCGGUGCCCGAAAAGGCGGAAGCGUCACGGGCCCGAUUGGAGGGAGUCACUCACGUCGAUGAUUCCCUGCGAUGCAACAGCAAGGUUAGUGCAAACACGAUGUCAGAGACACCUGGAAGUCGGCUUCCAAGCAUCGCCUCCACAGCAGCGCCCGAAAGUCCGAUGCACGCGUUAGAAGAGCUCUCGGCAGCUUUGCGCCUACCAGGUGUGAUGCGCAGCGACACACCUGGAAAUGUGGGCAGUGCGGUCUCGCCUCUCGCCGAGCCGCUGCAGGCGGCUCCUGUGCACGCACGUGAGCUUCCUGCGCGCGCAGGAAACAGCGCCGUCCCACGGAGUAGCCCUCACGAGGGAGCGUCACCCGCGCCCCUUCCCGGGGUCAACGUCGACGCGCCGGAGUCGAACACGCUAAACCUGGAACGCGCCUCACCGCGAUCGGCACCACCCGUUGCAGCCCAGGCGCCACCAUCCACCAUCUCCACUCCGCGUAGCCGCAGCGGAGGUCGAGAGGGCCCGGCCAGCGUUCGGAACUCGACCCCGACAGAGCCGCCGGUGUCGGAUGAGGCCGCUGCGAGACGCCGUGAAGAUGUCGCCAAUAUACUGAAGCGCAUAAAGGCGAAGAAGGAGCAGGAGCAAAAAAGGAGUUCUGAGGUGGGCACGCCGACGAGCCCCACGUGGAGCGAAAGCGCCUCUUCUGGAACGAAAGACGUGGACUCCCCAUCCAUGUAGCGCGCCUCGGUGUCUCUCUGGAGCCUCUUCGUGUGGCAGAGACGCGGCAAAAAUACCGAUGAAGGCCCGCGAGCACGUCUUUUUCUCCCGCCUCUGCUCACCAGCUCCUUGAAGCACAUACGCGCACACGCACACACUUAUUCCCCACCACGAUGACGCUAACGCUUCGCACACCUUGACGCGCGCCCAUCUGCACUUUACCUUCAACCGGUGUGCGUGCCGCCGCUGCUGCAGCAGCAGUGGCGGCCUCUCUCUCUCUCCUCCCCCUCACGCCGUCCCCGCGAGCCGCCCGUGUCGAGCGCGCUUCUAUGUUGUGGUUUCUUCCCUCUGUAUUACUUUCGCUUAGAGUUCUUUUUUUUUGCUUUCGUUGUUUUUGUGUUACUGCGCACCGCUCUGUUUGUCCUAAGAGCAUGCAGGAUUAAAAAAAAAAAAGAAGGAUGUCUCUCGCCUUUCGUCUCCCUCGCCGUCCUCCCUUGCUUGCAGCG